Molecule: long non-coding RNA, 4107 nt
Organism: Solenopsis invicta (red fire ant)
Lineage: Eukaryota; Metazoa; Arthropoda; Insecta; Hymenoptera; Formicidae
Exons: 5
Source: RefSeq, a predicted model, not a curated record
UAAAAAAACUUCUACCUUACAAAUAUUGCACACACUAGUUAGAACAUAAAAAUCAUUAGAAUAUAGUCUUGUAAACAUUAUUAAAUAUAAAUAGAAUGGAUCAUCUUUAUGCAAACUAUAGUAUUUCAGUUGAAUCUGCUUUAUUUUGUCCAAUACUAUAGAGAGGUAGUAGUGGUAACUGUCACCGAAGACAAUUUAUGUUAAUGACUGUUCGUAACCGAGGAGAGCCGAGGUCGCUCGACAGAACAGUCUGCAGGUCGCCGUAGCAGCGGUCGGACACGAAGCUCUUUGCUCGACUUUCGAAUCCUCCCCACUCACCAACCCUGAAUUCACCACCUUGCGCGUCCUGACUAUCCCAUCCCUACGAUGGCGACGCCCAGCGUCGAUUCGUGCGCAUUUUCAUCCCCAGCUUGGAGAUUCGUUCUCCUAUGGACGCCUGUGCGCUUAUCGAAUGAAAAUUGUUUUGUGAUAAAUCAGUGUAUCGAAACGUAAAAUUAGUGCCUUUUUAAGGAUACUUCACGAGUCUUUUACGAGCAAUUAUUGGAUCGCAUAAAAUGGUGCUGAAGGGGGCAGGAGGAAUGAAGGAGAUGAAGGGGAAGAAACACGAGGGGAAGAAGAAUGGUGCUGUGAUGCGGCCAGGGGAGCGAGGGGGAAGGGAAAGAUGCCGGCUGGUAAGCAGAUGGUUGCCCCGUUUAUUGGUUUAUUCGUUGGUUCAGCCAUGACGUUCCGUCCGGCCAUGAAACGAGCCGGAGACUCUCCUUGUGUUAGAGAGUAUCAAGCAACGAGGCUACAACUGCUCUUCCUAUUAAAACGCAUCCGCGAGCUACUUACUCGCCUAGUAUAUUUUUCAAUUGCAUCUGAUAUCUGCCAUGGUGAAUUUAUAUAUUAUACAUCUGUAAAAACCAAAUGGUUCUAUAAAUUCUGUAUCUGGUUAAAAAGUUUUAUCGGCAUCGAUACAAUAAAUUUUUCUACACCGAAAAAUAUGCACGAAAGCAGAGGAAUAGCAUAGCAGCAGUUUUGAUGGCGGGGUGCAAAUGUACGCGUUAUAUAGAUGAUAUUCAGUAAUGGCGUCCUGGGGGCGGACGAAAUGCUCGGGUCGAUAGAAGGUUGCUUGCCGACGAAACUCAAAUACACUCUCGUCUUAUUGCCGAUGAUCCCCACUUACAAUGGACUUUUCUAUGGCUUAUCCCCAGGGAUGUCAUCGACAUGACUCAAAAUAUAAUUCAUUAUACCUGUGAAAUCGUAUGCGACAUGACCAAGUAACCUGGAAAUGAAAGGUACGUCGACACGCGUACAGGAAUAAAAGGAGCUGUACCGCUAAGAAGACGAAGAAGAAGAAGAAGGAGAAGAAGAAGAAAACCAAGGAGAACGCGACCUUGCUACAUUCAGCUGUGUCAUCCUUGAGCCGUUAACGCUCAGGUGGUUUCGAUCCCAGGAACGAGCAUCAAUCAUCAUUGGUAGUGCAGGUGUAAUGUGAUCAUUGUCACUGAGAUAACCCAGUACGAUAUUCACUUACGAAGCGUGUCAAAUGACAUAAUAGAGUUUAUCUAUAACAGCGCGUAUAAAUAUUAAAAGAAACGGCUACAAUAUUUGAUCCUUGACAACAUACAAUCUAUUAAACCUUUGAAUAAAAAAUAUGACGUAACAAUUGUUGAAAAUGUAAAAUUCUCAUAUGUAUAAUACUAUCAAUAUUUUACAUAUUUAAUAUCAACAUAUAAGAUAUUGCAGAUAUUUAUCUCAAAAUUGUCUUUUAUAAAAAAACAUAUUUUAAUUUAAACAGUAAUAAUAAACGUUAUGUAGCCUUUACAUAAUUUCAUAAUAUAAUAGAAUAUUGUGUUAAUAAUAAUAAUACGUAAGAUAGUAUCAAUGCUAGCAAAAUAAAGUAGUAAAAUAAAUCGGUAUUAAAAUUAAAUGUUACAUAAAAACAAUAUAUUUUUUUUCUUAUGUUCAAUUUCUUCACACCUCCCGAUAGAUAUAUUUCAGAUAAAAAUGUUCGUCAAUUAACUAAAAAUUCGUUUUCUUUACUAAUUAACUUAUUUUUGAUUAUGUAACUAAUGGGUAGCUAUUCUUUAUACUAACUAUCGACACAAACUGUAUUAGCAUUUUACUAGAAAGAAUAUUUAUUCUCUGGGAGAUAUUUCAUGGAUAAAAUUAUCUAGAGAUGAAGAAAUUAGGCAUUAACCGGUUGAUGUCCAAUUUCUUCACCUAUAACUUAAUUCAUGAGAUAUUUCCUGGAGAAUAUGAUAAUUUCUAUAUUAAAAUUCUAGUACACUUUGUGUUAAUAGUAUGAAGAAUUAGUUAUUCUUAUAUAGAUACGUAAACAAAAAUUUUAAUAAAGUAAACGAAUUUUCAGUUAUUUGACGGAUAUUUUUAUCUGGAAGAUAGCUAUCGGUGUGAGAAAUGUGUGAAGAAAUCGGGCAGAAUUCCAGAAACUAAAUUAUGUAAGAGAGAACCGAAUACGUAAUUAAUGAGAGAUUGACUUUUACUAACAAUACUGUACUGAAAAUAGAUUUCACGUAUGUAUCGUUUAAAUACUUUCUAAAAAUUAAUUUUUUUUUAAAUUAGAAAAUUUAGAAAACAUGGUUGUGUUUUAUAUUAACGGUAAUUGUGACUAAUUUUGCUAAUUUGAUAUUUUUUUGGAAGUUUACGCAAUUUGCGCUAAAAGCAGACCCUGCCUCGCUUUCUUGAAGAGUGACUCAGCAUAUAUACCUAAGCUAUUUCCAUAUGACUGUGCACUUCAUAAGCCUCUGCGAGUGUUAAUUUGAAAUUACCCAUGUUCUAUAACUUCAACGAUAGGAACGUAAACACCGCUAAUGCAAUACAAAUUGUUGAAAAAAAAAACGUACGCUUAUAUUUAUAAACGAUUACGUUAUAACGUUGAUAGAAUACAUAAUACCUUCCUAACAGAGCUAAAGCCUCUUUAAAUAAUAUUUACAUUGACAUAUUAUAGAAGUUGGAAUAGAAACGGAUACGGAAGACAUGAAAAACUAUACAAAAAUGUAUUACAGUAUAAAAAAUUUUUAAUCAGUUGUAUAACAACGUAAGAACGAUAUUGUUUACAAUUUGCAAAUUAUAAUAUUAAGAUUUCUGCCCGUUAACUGAAUGUUUCAAAUUUAAUUCUAUGUUUUACAAUUAAAGUGUAAAAACUGAUAUUAAUAGGAAAAUAUUUUCAGGUUCCUAUAAAAUGGUUGCGAAGUCUACUGAAGAUCACAUACUGGGCGGACAAAGAAGUUAAGACCGGCACGUAUAUGUUAAGUAUUUUUAAUAUAUAAGGAAAUAAACGAUAAACGAUGAAUGUGCCGUACAAGAAAGCCCAGUUAAUGCUCUACAUCUACCCUGUAGAUCCGAAUUUGUUUGAUAAGAGGCGACAAAUUCGGUUCUAGAGAGGUUUGUGUGGUGCAUACAAAGCAACGGUGAUCUUUAAAUGAGAGAGGAUAUCAAUCCAAAUUAAACGCACAAAAAUUUGUUAACGUAUUGAAAUACUGGAUAAACGUUUUUAAAAUUGAUAGAUUUUAUUAUGGUAAAUACCAACAUCAGUGUUAAUAAGUUCCUAAAAAUUUUAUUUACGCAAUAAAUGUAAUGUAAAUGUAAGUGUAUAUGAACUCCAACUAGUGAUUAUAACGGAAUUCAUAUAAUGUAAAUCAAUUAAAAAUUACCAGAACGUUAUAAUUAUAUAUUCAUAUGUUUAGAUAUGUGUUACGUGACUAUAUAAUUAGGUAGUUACAAUUAGGUCGCUGGAAAUACUUUUUAAAGUCACUCAUGUGCGUAUCGCAAACGAAUUAUUAAUGGUAACGGAAAAAUGACAAAUGUAAGAAAGAAUUAAUGAGCGUCAUUACGCCCAUGGACUUGGUUGCAUGCAUGUUGGCGUACUGUCGAUGAUGAACUGCUACGUCUAGCGUGACCUGUUGCGCAUAAGUUCACUCACACAUCGUAUUAAAUUGUACGUUUUUCUAGUCCUUUAUACAGGUAGAUUCAAAUUCUGUUUAAUUUAUAUGAGAUUGUAGUAAAAUAUUUGUACGAUAUAUAUAACUUAGAUUAGCAAUAAGUAAUUUCAUAAAGAAGUGAUUUUAAAGAGCAUGUUAUUCAAUAAGAUUUACUUAAAGUCAA